RNAcentral lists this ribosomal RNA (302 nucleotides) under uncultured bacterium. Its description in RNAcentral is "partial 16S ribosomal RNA". It matches the Rfam family "Bacterial small subunit ribosomal RNA", at positions 508 to 807 of the family's 1533-position model. The record is from RNAcentral.
GCAGUAGCCGCGGUAAUACGAGGGGGGCAAGCGUUGUUCGGAAUUAUUGGGCGUAAAGCGUACGUAGGCGGCUUUGUAAGUUAGAGGUGAAAGCCUGGAGCUCAACUCCAGAAUUGCCUUUAAGACUGCAUCGCUUGAACGUCGGAGAGGUGAGUGGAAUUCCGAGUGUAGAGGUGAAAUUCGUAGAUAUUCGGAAGAACACCAGUGGCGAAGGCGGCUCACUGGACGACUGUUGACGCUGAGGUACGAAAGCGUGGGGAGCAAACAGGAUUAGAUACCCCGGUAGUCCCUGUCUCUUAUAC